AAGUUGUUAAAUUCUUCAAUGAUGCUGUCAAAGAUAUUAUUUUCAAACUUUCAAAUAAUUAUCUAACAAAGGUGUUCGAGGAUGUGAAUGAAUAUCAUCGAGACAAAUGGCAUAUUAGAUGGGCAAAAUUCAAGUACACUUACUUUGACAGCCCUUGGAUAUUCAUGUCAGCUUUAACCGCUCUCAUUCUCCUUAUUCUCACCUUUAUUCAAGCCUUCUUUGCUGUCUAUGGGUAUGUAAAUCCUCCUCAAUAAGUAAUUAGCAAUUUGUGAACAGCAAGUGUAACAAUAAAAUGUCAAGCUUUAACUUAUUCUUCAAGACUGCGAAGUCUUGAGUUAAAGUCCCAAUAUUAAUCAAGAUUGUACCAAAAAAAAUGUCCUUUUCAAUUGAAAUGUUGUCUACUAGAA
This 407-nucleotide unclassified non-coding RNA is filed under the name Hevea brasiliensis (rubber tree). The record is from RNAcentral. Lineage: Eukaryota; Viridiplantae; Streptophyta; Magnoliopsida; Malpighiales; Euphorbiaceae.